UACGAAGGGGGCUAGCGUUGCUCGGAAUCACUGGGCGUAAAGCGCACGUAGGCGGACUCUUAAGUCGGUGGUGAAAUCCUGGAGCUCAACUCCAGAACUGCCUUCGAUACUGGCGACCUUGAGUCCGGGAGAGGUGAGUGGAACUCCGAGUGUAGAGGUGAAAUUCGUAGAUAUUCGGAAGAACACCAGUGGCGAAGGCGGCUCACUGGCCCGGUACUGACGCUGAGGUGCGAAAGCGUGGGGAGCAAACAGG
RNAcentral lists this ribosomal RNA (253 nucleotides) under uncultured bacterium. Its description in RNAcentral is "partial 16S ribosomal RNA". It matches the Rfam family "Bacterial small subunit ribosomal RNA", at positions 524 to 776 of the family's 1533-position model. The record is from RNAcentral.